This 73-nucleotide transfer RNA is filed under the name Camelus bactrianus (Bactrian camel). It matches the Rfam family "tRNA". From Rfam's summary of the family: Transfer RNA (tRNA) molecules are approximately 80 nucleotides in length. The record is from Rfam by way of RNAcentral. RNAcentral also lists the same sequence under 1 other name. Lineage: Eukaryota; Metazoa; Chordata; Mammalia; Artiodactyla; Camelidae.
GAGGGUAUAGCUCACGUGGUAGAGCGCAUGCUUAGCAUGCAUGAGGUCCUGGGUUUGAUCCCUAAUAUCUCCC